CACCACAAGAAGGAUUGGGGCAGACCACCUUAACCUUCCACAACUUAUAGAGCAUCCAGACGAGUAGUGGAUGGGUGAAAACACGGUCUGGUGAAGGCUCCUGGUGGUAGAGACUCGGCUGAGGUGUAGCAGCAGAAGGAAGGCUCCUUCUUCGCCUCUGGUUCCUGCAACAAGAGGGGGACACUCUCCUCCGCCUUUAACUUCAGGGCCUGUCUUUGGGUGGAUCCUGCUGGACUAUCCAGCUCCUGUGGUCGCGGCCUCCUGGCUGCCCUCCAGAGAGCUGUUUCCUGUCUGCGCCGCCUCCCAGCCUGACUAAACUAAAUAUUUUAAUAUCGGAGCUGCUUUCAAAGUGAUUUUCCAAACACAUGAAGUUUCUGGACAAAGUAUCAGAUCAGUAUCAGAUCGGUAUCAGACCGGUAUCGCCGAUACUGGCUUGUAUUUUACUUGGUAUCGGAUCAGAAAGAAAGCGAGUGGCAUCGUACAUCACUACUCCAGUACUCCUGCUGGCAGCACGCGGUGUGAUGGAAACCUACGAGCCUGCGUGCUCUAGUCUGGAGCUGCUCUUAAAGGGCCAGCGUCACUAAAAUACCCCACACAGUUAUCACAAUACCAGCUUUACAAGCAGAACGAAUGUGAACAGUUUACCAAACCAAGACUUGGUGGUUCACAUGUUGCAGCUGCAGAGCCGAAUGUCGCCAUGGCCAGGAAAGUGUCUCAGAAACAAGUCAUGGAAGGUGGGAGAUUACUGGUUCUCCGGUCAGCACUGCAUCUCAGCUCUAGACCCCCAAACUCCCUUGGUGUUCCUCUGUUUGAUCGGGAGAGGAUGGAGCACAUCUGGCGGGUCCAGAAGAAGCAUGUGAAGAGCAUCCAAGAUCCACCAGGUGUUGCUCUCUACACUAAAACUGGGAGCUGACCAAGGGAGGUGUGUGUCUGCCGGUGUUUAGGUGAACCAGAGGCUCAACUUCCUUGGAGUCUUUUCAUCUGCAGCUAAACCGCUUCAUACCAGGGAGCAGUGCCAACAGCCUGAAUGUUCAGGUUUACCUGUUGGAAGGGCUACACAGGUGGAACCAGGACCAGGUGUUGCUGCCAUGGCAACUGAGAAGUCUCCUUUGUGCUGCUACUCUGGUGAUUUGCUGCAUUCUGUCAACCAAACCUACAAGAAGCUGUUUGGCAGAAAGGUGGCGCCAGAGUUCUGUCCGUCCUCAUGUUACACAGGCAAACUCGUAGGAGUGCAGUAUCUGUUCCAGCAGACUGGUCAGGAACUGCAGGACAUGAACCCUGACUCAGAGGAGACCGCCCGGUUGGUUGAGGAGCACGAUGUGGUGCUUGAUGAGGAAGAUGAGGGCUUUUCUGACCUCACAGACGAGCCACAGUGCUGGAUAUGGAGGUUCAACCUGCUCCCAGCACCUCCUCCACACUGGCCUCUGGCAUAUCUGAGGCUGGAGAUUCCUCACAUGAAACUGUGCUCAGUAACAGUUAUUUGCUGCUGUUUUCUACAUACUGUAUGUUCACGGAUGUUAUUGAAACUAAAGGUUUUAAAUAGUAAUUUUCUGUUUUCUGCUUAAUAACAUUGGCAGGCUGUUGAUGAGCAGAAUGUGGCUGGAUACCAGCAUGUGGAGGAGAAAGAUCCUAAAUAGAAUUUAGGGAACUUGCUCGUCAAUAAUUGUAAAUAGUUCUGAUUGUUUGAGUGUUUAUUGUAAAUAUUGGUCUUUUUUAAAUGGUUCUUGUAUUAUUCAUUUUCUGUGUAAAAGCAACAUUUCUCAUUGUGAAGAGCGACAUUAA
This is a long non-coding RNA of Melanotaenia boesemani (Boeseman's rainbowfish), 1782 nucleotides long. RefSeq lists it as uncharacterized. The record is from RefSeq and is a predicted model, not a curated record. The transcript is spliced from 8 exons. NCBI's taxonomy places the organism in Eukaryota, Metazoa, Chordata, Actinopteri, Atheriniformes, Melanotaeniidae.